CAGGUUGUGACACAAUCAAAGAAUAAAUAAAUCUCUUCAGUAGAUUGCAGUCAGAGCUUUUGCCAACUUAGAAAAGAAAAGAAACAAUAUGACAGUGGUAUCGCAAAUACAGGAUAUGAAGUCUGCAGAUAUGGAGAACUGACUGUAAUCCCAACAUUUAAUUGCUGAGUAAAGAAUGAGGAAUCUACUAUACAGACAAAAGGAAUAUCCAAAAAGGUGAAGAGCUGAGCAUGUUUAAUUACUGAUGAGAAGAAUCUAGUCAGGAGGAAGCUGUUGAAGAUGCAGGAGAAGGGGAGAACUGUCACUGGGGUAAGGUUUUCAAGUAAGGAGGAGGGACAGGCUCCCUAGCAUGCGUGGAAAGUGAAAUUAAGUUUUUCUGAGCUUUAAUUAUGUGCCAGGAUCUCUUCACAAUGAUGGAAAUUUGUGUGUUGUUUUUUUUCUUUUCUUUUUCAUCCUCACACCAUGUUUUGAAGUAAUUCUUACC
Molecule: long non-coding RNA, 484 nt
Organism: Callithrix jacchus (white-tufted-ear marmoset)
Lineage: Eukaryota; Metazoa; Chordata; Mammalia; Primates; Cebidae
Source: RefSeq, a predicted model, not a curated record